Molecule: ribosomal RNA, 1273 nt
Filed under: Klebsiella pneumoniae
Lineage: Bacteria; Pseudomonadati; Pseudomonadota; Gammaproteobacteria; Enterobacterales; Enterobacteriaceae
Description: bacterial SSU rRNA
Rfam family: Bacterial small subunit ribosomal RNA
Source: RNAcentral
GGCUCACCUAGGCGACGAUCCCUAGCUGGUCUGAGAGGAUGACCAGCCACACUGGAACUGAGACACGGUCCAGACUCCUACGGGAGGCAGCAGUGGGGAAUAUUGCACAAUGGGCGCAAGCCUGAUGCAGCCAUGCCGCGUGUGUGAAGAAGGCCUUCGGGUUGUAAAGCACUUUCAGCGGGGAGGAAGGCGAUAAGGUUAAUAACCUUGUCGAUUGACGUUACCCGCAGAAGAAGCACCGGCUAACUCCGUGCCAGCAGCCGCGGUAAUACGGAGGGUGCAAGCGUUAAUCGGAAUUACUGGGCGUAAAGCGCACGCAGGCGGUCUGUCAAGUCGGAUGUGAAAUCCCCGGGCUCAACCUGGGAACUGCAUUCGAAACUGGCAGGCUAGAGUCUUGUAGAGGGGGGUAGAAUUCCAGGUGUAGCGGUGAAAUGCGUAGAGAUCUGGAGGAAUACCGGUGGCGAAGGCGGCCCCCUGGACAAAGACUGACGCUCAGGUGCGAAAGCGUGGGGAGCAAACAGGAUUAGAUACCCUGGUAGUCCACGCCGUAAACGAUGUCGAUUUGGAGGUUGUGCCCUUGAGGCGUGGCUUCCGGAGCUAACGCGUUAAAUCGACCGCCUGGGGAGUACGGCCGCAAGGUUAAAACUCAAAUGAAUUGACGGGGGCCCGCACAAGCGGUGGAGCAUGUGGUUUAAUUCGAUGCAACGCGAAGAACCUUACCUGGUCUUGACAUCCACAGAACUUUCCAGAGAUGGAUUGGUGCCUUCGGGAACUGUGAGACAGGUGCUGCAUGGCUGUCGUCAGCUCGUGUUGUGAAAUGUUGGGUUAAGUCCCGCAACGAGCGCAACCCUUAUCCUUUGUUGCCAGCGGUUAGGCCGGGAACUCAAAGGAGACUGCCAGUGAUAAACUGGAGGAAGGUGGGGAUGACGUCAAGUCAUCAUGGCCCUUACGACCAGGGCUACACACGUGCUACAAUGGCAUAUACAAAGAGAAGCGACCUCGCGAGAGCAAGCGGACCUCAUAAAGUAUGUCGUAGUCCGGAUUGGAGUCUGCAACUCGACUCCAUGAAGUCGGAAUCGCUAGUAAUCGUAGAUCAGAAUGCUACGGUGAAUACGUUCCCGGGCCUUGUACACACCGCCCGUCACACCAUGGGAGUGGGUUGCAAAAGAAGUAGGUAGCUUAACCUUCGGGAGGGCGCUUACCACUUUGUGAUUCAUGACUGGGGUGAAGUCGUAACAAGGUAACCGUAGGGGAACCUGCGGUUGGAUCACCU